RNAcentral lists this long non-coding RNA (1355 nucleotides) under Coturnix japonica (Japanese quail). Its description in RNAcentral is "lncRNA (ENSCJPG00005000533.1)". The record is from RNAcentral. Lineage: Eukaryota; Metazoa; Chordata; Aves; Galliformes; Phasianidae.
AUGGGGCUCUAUGGCAUGCUAUGGGGUUUCUAUGGAGCUCUAUGGGGUCUCUAUGGGUCCCUAUGGGGCAGCUAUGGGGUCUCUAUGGGUCUCUAUGGGGUCUCUAUGGGUCUUUAUGGGUCCCUAUGGGUCUCUAUGGGUCCCUAUGGGUCUCCAUGGGUCUCUAUGUGGUCUCUAUGGGGUCUAUGGGGUCUCUGUGGGGUCUCUAUGGGUCCCUAUGGGGCAGCUAUGGGGUCUCUAUGGGGUCCCUAUGGGUCCCUAUGGGUCUCUAUGGGUCCCUAUGGGGCAGCUAUGGGGUCUCUAUGGGGUCUCUAUGGGUCUCUAUGGGUCCCUAUGGGGUUUCUAUGGGUCUCUAUGGGUCCCUAUGGGGUCUCUAUAGGGUCUCUAUGGGUCUCUAUGGGUCCCUAUGGGGUUUCUAUGGGUCUCUAUGGGUCCCUAUGGGGUCUCUAUGGGGUCUCUAUGUGGUCUCUAUGGGGCUCUAUGGCAUGCUAUGGGGUUUCUAUGGAGCUCUAUGAGGUCUCUAUGGGUCCCUAUGGGGUCUCUAUGGGUCUCUAUGGGUCUCUAUGGGUCCCUAUGGGUCCCUAUGGGGUCUCUAUGGGUCUCUAUGGGUCUCUAUGGGUCCCUAUGGGUCCCUAUGGGUCUCUAUGGGUCUUUAUGGGUCUCUAUGGGUCCCUAUGGGGUUUCUAUGGGUCUCUAUGGGUCCCUAUGGGGUCUCUAUGGGUCUCCAUGGGUCUCUAUGGGGCUUGCAGGAAAGGGGGCGUGGCCAUGGAAGUGGGCGGGGCUUUGACGUUGGUGGGCGUGGCUUCAUCUUCUGGGCUGCCUCUAUUCUGUCGAUCCAGGGGAACCCAGCCCCGAUUGCAGGUGCUGGUGGUGGGAGCGGAGGAGCUGAGCCAACAACACGGACCAGAGAGACUGAAAAGGGAACUGAGGCGCUGCUUCCCGCUGCUGGACGCUCUGAUUGGUGGAGACGUCACCUUGUCCCGCCCACUUCCGGCCACGCCCAGACCGGAAAUGGAGGUCCUCCUGCAGUCUCUAUGCUCCGCUGCUCGUUCCGGUCCCAGCUGCAUCCGGGUCCUUGGGGUCGGGGGUCCCCCGUUGGUCUCCACACCCCAAUGGCGGGCUCUGCCCCACACGGACGCCGCCAUCUUGGUUUCUCUCCUCACUUCCGGUUCCGCUCACUCGGCCAAGGAUCUGCCGGUUUUCUUGCCCACCGGAAGUCCCGCGAUUCAGCUCUGCCCCCUCGGCGCUAUGGGGCGGCCCUAUGGAGGAUGAAGGAGCUGCUGGUGGAGCGGUAUUGCCCCGAAGGAGGGGGGGGUGAAGGUAUGGGGUGAACUUAUGGGGCACUUAUGGGGCUG